CUCAAACUGCAUGCGGGCCGAAGCAAGGUCUGAAAGCAGUUGAAGAACUGAUAUUUUUCACAAAAAUGUUAGUAGCCGGUUCAGUUUCACUUGAAAAUCUCGCUAACAAAGUCUAUCAGACCAGGUUAUCCAUGUCAAAUUUUCUGAACUGAUUAAACUGUUAGAUUACAGAAUAUCAUUAUUCAAAUUCGAAACCUUUAAACAUUUGAAAUCCAUAAAUUAAAUGCAAUAAGGUGCUGCAAGUUUGAAAUGCCACCGGUAUCGAACCUGUUACAGCCAACAUCAUAUGGAAGUUCCUGAAGAAAAUAGUUUUAUAGCAUACUUAAAUUCUGCUGCUUAUAGGGUCAUUAUGUUUUUUCGAUGCUAAGAAAUUGAAGAAAUCCUCAAUGCUUUCGCCGGAAUUCGAACUCUGGGCUCCCGAUUAUGUGACGAACGUGCUUCCAGCUAUACCACAAAGACACGCGAAAAGGAGAAAGAAAAUACCAUUUAUGGAAGCAUCUGCCUCUCCCCUCCCACUUUUUUUUCCGAAGAAAUUAUGACAAUAUGGGUCAUCAUGCAGGUUUUGAUGGCUAGCGUAUAUUGCGUCACAAUCACACAUCCUGCAUCAUAGAAAAUGGAAGGAAAUUAAUUGCCAACAUUAAUUCAUUGCGGCUUCAGCACCAUGAAGGACAAGGGACAAAAGGUGACCCAGAGAUAUCAAUCAGGCUGGUGGUGAAUACCCAUCUCUCUCUUCUCGAUAAACUGUCCGAAUGGGAUGACCCUGGAGAUUAUCAGAAAUAACAAUUUAAACAAAAAAUAAAUGAAAUGCACUUCUAAAAAUGCUUUUCAGCGCGUACUAAUUUAUACACAGAAUGAAUAAAUAAUAAUCAAUAAAUGCAGAAACCGUGCUUAGGCUUGCUGUUUAUAAUUAAAAUUAGGAAAAUAUAGCUAUGACAGUAAUUUAAAAAUAAAAAUAAACUUAAAGAACGGUGUUU
Molecule: long non-coding RNA, 974 nt
Organism: Stegodyphus dumicola
Lineage: Eukaryota; Metazoa; Arthropoda; Arachnida; Araneae; Eresidae
Source: RefSeq, a predicted model, not a curated record